This is a long non-coding RNA of Achroia grisella, 785 nucleotides long. RefSeq lists it as uncharacterized. NCBI's taxonomy places the organism in Eukaryota, Metazoa, Arthropoda, Insecta, Lepidoptera, Pyralidae. The transcript has 3 exons. The record is from RefSeq and is a predicted model, not a curated record.
CACCCGACUAGUCUUGACGUUCGUUAGAAGUUAUUAUUUUUAUCAUUUAAAACUACAAAGUACAAUUGUAUAUUAUUUAAAACGAUCAAAUUUGUAGGAGACAUUUUUAGAAAUGCAGUCAAUAAUAAGUAAAAGGUUAAUCGGCGGAAAUAUGGAGAAGUUAUCAAAAUAUUCAAUUUACACAAAGACGAAAACCUAAUUUAAAAAUGGUGGCGUCAUCACCUGGUGAAACUGCGCAAUAUGUUGAAAUACCGUUGAGAUAAUACCGAAGACAAUAAAUAAGGAGAAGGAAUGGGUACUAAUAUAAUUUAGUAGCUCGCUAUAUAUAUUGACCUGGGGUCGUUCGUCUGCCAACACAUAUCCACCUAAUCACGUGACCACCAUGUAUAUAGUCACUUGACCGCCAGUGACCAUGGUGUAUCUAUCUAGUUACGCGUAUUCGUCGAUGUUUUCUUUUAACGUUGGCGUGAGGGUCCGGGCAGGUUGCAGAUUUAUCUACGUCUUUUAAAAAUAAAAAAUAAUGUUAUCUCAAAGAAAUAAAAUUUUGCUAUUUUGAUCGCAUUAAUUUAUUAUAGUUUAGUUUCAAGAAUAAAUCAAUUUAAUAACUUUAUAUCCCUUUAUUAACCUUUGUGUACUACUUAUGUCUCAUAGAAAUCGAUUUAUAAAACUAAUGGGCAAUAAUUUUUUCUAGUUAGAUUGUUUUUGUUAGAGAUCAAUACAUUAAGUAAUCAUUACUUAUGUACUUAGUACUUUUGAACAAUUAAUUUUUACAUUCCUAGUCGAUC